GUAAAGAAUGCAUAUAUGAUUCUUAUUUUAUGGCAUUUUAAACUUUCCACCCCACGGUUUUAAAGUGUUAAUAUAUGUUAAAAAUAUAUGCAAUUUAUAAAGGAGAAGGAAAGCCCAGCUUGAUUUUUGCUGCCAAAGAUGGUAUAUUUAAAAUUAAACGUAACUAAUGGCAAAAAAUAAUGGGAAUGGUGCAGUCUUUGAGCUGUAUCCAGUUGGCAUUAUUCUCUUGGACUAAAAGGAAUAGUAUUAACUUCCUCACUUUGGGUAAGCCACUUUAGAUUUUUGGGCUGCAGUUUUCUCAGGUAAUUAGAGACUUUAUAUUAUGAAAGUUUGGUUCACAAUUCUUUGAGUCUCUUUUGGGAACAAAGAAGGUAAGAGGAGGAUAUGUGCCCUCCUCUCAAUCAAGGGGUUUCUUGAAACCCUCUAAGGAGAAAAAUCUGAAACUGCCUUUCCUAAAACGUUCAUGGGUUUGUCAUUCUGAUGAUCAAUAUCGUCCCACUGAAGUAUCUUUUUGAAUUCCUAGUUAGGAAUCUUUAUGUUAAGAUAAACUGAUCACUCUCUCCUUCGUGGACAGUUUAUCUACCUAAAGAUGAUAGGGGAAAACACUGUUUUUGAAAGACGAAAUAAAGACAUGUUGUAGCAGUUAUUUUAUUGCCAGUUAGUAUUACAAAAGUUCCUAAGGAACUCCCCAUUAACUUGGCCUCAUAUGAACUACGCUUGAGUCCCGUUUUAAAUUGAGUCUUGAUCGUAUUUACUGACAGUUUCAAAGCAGCGUUUUUUUUUUUCCUCCAUAGUAAAAAACCUACAGGAUACCACCACCAAAGGAAAAAACAAGUUUUUUUCAGUAAACCUCACAAGAGCAUACAUUUGAUAGAAUACACGGAUUUUCUAAUGAAAGCUCGCCGUCACCAUUUUAUAAGUCAGAACAUGAAAGUCAAAAUAUCUCAUACAGAUGUCUUUUUUUUUUGAGAAGGUACACAAGGCUUGCUUGUAGAGAUGGAGUUACAUGGAGGGACAGAAGGUCACUGGUCAGUGAUUUUAGGUUUUUAUACUUCUGAAAACAGAUCCUUUGCACAUGGCCUGCUAUCAACAAUCCUCUACAAUGAUUCUCAGCAUCACCUAGGGAGCUUAUGUAAAAUCUCAAAUUCCUGGGCCCUAUCCCCAGAGUUUCUUAUCAAUUUCCUUGAUGGAGAACUAUCAAAGCAGUCAAAGCUAUCAAAAUAAAAAAGAAUUCUGAUUGGGUGCAGUGGCUCACACCUGUCAUUCCAGCACUUUGAGAGGCCAAGGUGGGCAGAUCACAUGAGGCCAGGAGUUCAAGACCAGCCUGGCCAACAUGGCAGAAACCCCAUCUCUACUAAAAAUACCAAAAUUAGCCGGGCAUGGUGGAACACACCUGCAAUCCCAGCUACUCGGGAGGCUGAGGCAAGAGAAUCGCUUGAACCUGGGAGGCAGAAGUUGCAGUGAAACAAGUUGGUGCCAAUGCAUUCCAGCCUGGAUGAUGGAGCGAGACUCUGUCUCAAGAAAAAAAAAACAAAAACAAAAACAGAA
Homo sapiens (human) is the source of this 1548-nucleotide long non-coding RNA. Ensembl annotates it as long intergenic non-protein coding RNA 667. The record is from Ensembl. Lineage: Eukaryota; Metazoa; Chordata; Mammalia; Primates; Hominidae.